CCUACGGGCGGCUGCAGUGGGGAAUAUUGGGCAAUGGGCGAAAGCCUGACCCAGCAACGCCGCGUGAAGGAAGAAGGCCUUCGGGUUGUAAACUUCUUUUAUGGAGGACGAAGAAGUGACGGUACUCCAUGAAUAAGCCACGGCUAACUACGUGCCAGCAGCCGCGGUAAUACGUAGGUGGCAAGCGUUGUCCGGAUUUACUGGGUGUAAAGGGCGCGUAGGCGGGAUGGCAAGUCAGAUGUGAAAUCUGGGGGCUCAACCCUCAAACUGCAUUUGAAACUGUCGUUCUUGAGUAUCGGAGAGGCAAGUGGAAUUCCUAGUGUAGCGGUGAAAUGCGUAGAUAUUAGGAGGAACACCAGUGGCGAAGGCGGCUUGCUGGACGACAACUGACGCUGAGGCGCGAAAGCGUGGGGAGCAAACAGGAUUAGAUACCCCAGUAGUC
Molecule: ribosomal RNA, 442 nt
Filed under: uncultured Oscillospiraceae bacterium
Lineage: Bacteria; Bacillati; Bacillota; Clostridia; Eubacteriales; Oscillospiraceae
Description: bacterial SSU rRNA
Rfam family: Bacterial small subunit ribosomal RNA
Source: RNAcentral